This 253-nucleotide ribosomal RNA is filed under the name uncultured bacterium. RNAcentral describes it as "partial 16S ribosomal RNA". It matches the Rfam family "Bacterial small subunit ribosomal RNA", at positions 524 to 776 of the family's 1533-position model. The record is from RNAcentral.
UACGAAGGGGGCGAGCGUUGUUCGGAUUUACUGGGCGUAAAGGGCGCGCAGGCGGCGCAUUUUGUCAGGCGUGAAAGCCCCGGGCUUAACCUGGGAACUGCGUUUGAUACGGAUGGGCUAGAGUUCGGGAGAGGAGAGUGGAAUUCCCAGUGUAGAGGUGAAAUUCGUAGAUAUUGGGAAGAACACCGAUGGCGAAGGCAGCCAUCUGGACCGACACUGACGCUGAGGCGCGAAAGCGUGGGGAGCAAACAGG